Unclassified non-coding RNA from Pongo abelii (Sumatran orangutan), 117 nucleotides. It matches the Rfam family "Metazoan signal recognition particle RNA". Rfam says of the family: The signal recognition particle (SRP) is a universally conserved ribonucleoprotein. It is involved in the co-translational targeting of proteins to membranes. The record is from Ensembl. NCBI's taxonomy places the organism in Eukaryota, Metazoa, Chordata, Mammalia, Primates, Hominidae.
GCUGGGCGUGGUGGCUCACGCCUGUAAUCCCAGUUCUUUGGGAGGCGGAGGUGGGCGGAUCACUUGAGGUCAGGAGUUCAAGACCAGCCUGGCCAACAUAGUGAAACCCUGUCUCUA